This 535-nucleotide ribosomal RNA is filed under the name Myrophinae sp. Lep20. RNAcentral's name for it is "partial 16S ribosomal RNA". It matches the Rfam family "Bacterial large subunit ribosomal RNA", at positions 1935 to 2597 of the family's 2925-position model. The record is from RNAcentral. Lineage: Eukaryota; Metazoa; Chordata; Actinopteri; Anguilliformes; Ophichthidae.
GGUAUUUUAACCGCGCUAAGGUAGCGUAAUCAUUUGUCUCUUAAAUGGAGACCUGUAUGAAUGGCACCACGAGGGUUUGACUGUCUCCUUCCCCCAGUCAAUGAAAUUGAUCUGCCCGUGCAGAAGCGGGCAUAAUAACAUAAGACGAGAAGACCCUAUGGAGCUUUAGGCAAAAGAUUAAACAUGUAAAGAGAAUUAUUCAACCCUAAAGGGACCAAAUGAUUUUAAACCUAAUGUGAACAUAACUCCCAUGCCUUCGGUUGGGGCGACCACGGGGGAAAAUAAAGCCCCCGCAUGGAAUUGAAGACACCUUCCAAGACAAAGAACUACAGUUCUAAUCAACAGAACAUCUGACCACAAGUGAUCCGGGACAAAGUAUUACCCGAUCAAUGAACCAAGUUACCCUAGGGAUAACAGCGCAAUCCUUUCCCAGAGCUCAUAUCGACGAAAGGGUUUACGACCUCGAUGUUGGAUCAGGACAUCCUAAUGGUGAAGCCGCUAUUAAGGGUUCGUUUGUUCAACGAUUAAUAGUCCU